This is a long non-coding RNA of Ochotona princeps (American pika), 175 nucleotides long. RefSeq lists it as uncharacterized. The transcript is spliced from 3 exons. Lineage: Eukaryota; Metazoa; Chordata; Mammalia; Lagomorpha; Ochotonidae. The record is from RefSeq and is a predicted model, not a curated record.
UAAAUAGUAAAAAAGCCAAAGAUACUGAAGAAAGAGUGCAAAGAACCACUAUUUAUUACCAAGGAAGGGUUAUUCAUUGUAAGAAAAGAGCCCACCAUAAUUGGUGGGCAGCUCGGUUUGCCGAGAGAGAACUCCAUGACUUAAAGAAAGAGUAUGUUUGUAAAAGGAAAAGGUA